CCUACGGGGGGCUGCAGUAGGGAAUCUUCGGCAAUGGACGAAAGUCUGACCGAGCAACGCCGCGUGAGUGAAGAAGGUUUUCGGAUCGUAAAACUCUGUUGUUAGAGAAGAACAAGGACGUUAGUAACUGAACGUCCCCUGACGGUAUCUAACCAGAAAGCCACGGCUAACUACGUGCCAGCAGCCGCGGUAAUACGUAGGUGGCAAGCGUUGUCCGGAUUUAUUGGGCGUAAAGCGAGCGCAGGCGGUUUCUUAAGUCUGAUGUGAAAACCCCCGGCUCAACCGGGGAGGGUCAUUGGAAACUGGGAGACUUGAGUGCAGAAGAGGAGAGUGGAAUUCCAUGUGUAGCGGUGAAAUGCGUAGAUAUAUGGAGGAACACCAGUGGCGAAGGCGGCUCUCUGGUCUGUAACUGACGCUGAGGCUCGAAAGCGUGGGGAGCAAACAGGAUUAGAUACCCUGGUAGUC
Molecule: ribosomal RNA, 465 nt
Filed under: uncultured Enterococcus sp.
Lineage: Bacteria; Bacillati; Bacillota; Bacilli; Lactobacillales; Enterococcaceae
Description: bacterial SSU rRNA
Rfam family: Bacterial small subunit ribosomal RNA
Source: RNAcentral